CGGAUCUCUGGGCCGGGUCUUUGUAGCUGACGUAGCGGAGAACGACGUCGCCGUAGAGAUGGACCUCGGCGAUGGUGACGCGGUUGUCGAGGAGGAUCGGCGGUGACGCGGGCUUGGCGCCGUGGGAGACGCUGGCGUGGAAGGCGAGGUCGGCGUCGGCGACUUGGAUGGCGACGGCGCGGACGGCGAGGCCGUGUUUGGCGGAGAAGGCGCGGGAGGCGGAGUGGUCGAAGCUGGGGAUGGAGGCGGAGGAGGUGGGCCCAGAGAGAGAAGGGGAGUAAGGGGCGGAGAAGAGGAAGGAGAGGUCGGCGGAGCGGAGGAGGUAGGAGGCGUGGGAGUGGUUGCCGGUGGAGAGGUCAGACUUGGCGACCAAGGGCAUGCCGAGGCCCCAGGAGAAGCGGAGGGCGGUGUUGGUGGCGUCGGUGCACCAGAACUCGAUGUGGUGGAAGCGGGUGACGGCGAACCGGUCGGAGCGGGGGUUGGAGCGGACGAAGUUGGAGAAUCCGACGAGGUUGAACUGGGUCGUCUCGGUUUGGUGGCCCAUUGUGGUGUGCUGACUGUGGUGAGGUCCGUGAGGAGGGUAUACUGGUAUGGUACCUAUAGUAGUAGUGACUGAGAGGGUGGACUUUUGGAGGGAAGCGGUGGGGACACGUAGACGUGGAUUGGGGUUUUAUCUUGUGUGGGGACACGUGGCGGGGUAUGGGUGGAGGGGGAGGAGGGGUUUUGAGUGACGCAACUCCAUACCGGCUAGGGGAUCAUGGAGGAGGAAAAACUGAAGUUUGGGACUUGUGUGUGUUUGGGGUUUUCCUGAGAGGGAAAGGAUAGAAUACGGGGAGAACGAAUGCGAUGGUUUUCUAUUGAGACGUGUGG
This 870-nucleotide long non-coding RNA is filed under the name Fragaria vesca (wild strawberry). RNAcentral describes it as "long non-coding RNA (FVES_LNC003217)". Lineage: Eukaryota; Viridiplantae; Streptophyta; Magnoliopsida; Rosales; Rosaceae. The record is from RNAcentral.